Molecule: ribosomal RNA, 110 nt
Filed under: Caerostris darwini
Lineage: Eukaryota; Metazoa; Arthropoda; Arachnida; Araneae; Araneidae
Source: RNAcentral
GACCAUACCCUGCUGAAUAUACCGGUUCUCGUUAGAUCACCGAAGUCAAGCAUCAUUGAGCCACGGUCAAUACUUGGGUGGGUAACCACCUGGGAACACCGCUUGCCGUU